This 502-nucleotide ribosomal RNA is filed under the name uncultured bacterium. Its description in RNAcentral is "bacterial SSU rRNA". It matches the Rfam family "Bacterial small subunit ribosomal RNA", at positions 28 to 524 of the family's 1533-position model. The record is from RNAcentral.
GAUGAACGCUAGCGGCAGGCCUAAUACAUGCAAGUCGAACGGUAACAUGAGUAGCAAUACUUGAUGACGAGUGGCGCACGGGUGCGUAACGCGUAUGCAAUCUACCUUUAACUGGUGAAUAGCCCGAAGAAAUUCGGAUUAAUACACCAUAGUAUAUUAGAGUAGCAUUACUUUAAUAUUAAAACUACGGUGGUUAAAGAUGAGCAUGCGUGACAUUAGCUAGUUGGUGAGGUAACGGCUCACCAAGGCUACGAUGUCUAGGGGAUCUGAGAGGAUUAACCCCCACACUGGUACUGAGACAGGGACCAGACUCCUACGGGAGGCAGCAGUAAGGAAUAUUGGACAAUGGUCGCAAGACUGAUCCAGCCAUGCCGCGUGAAGGAUGACGGCCCUAUGGGUUGUAAACUUCUUUUGUACGGGAAAAAACCCCUCUACGUGUAGAGGGCUGAUUGUACUGUAAGAAUAAGGAUACGGCUAACUCCGUGCCAGCAGCCGCGGUAAU